This 253-nucleotide ribosomal RNA is filed under the name uncultured bacterium. RNAcentral describes it as "partial 16S ribosomal RNA". It matches the Rfam family "Bacterial small subunit ribosomal RNA", at positions 524 to 776 of the family's 1533-position model. The record is from RNAcentral.
CACGUAAGGGGCGAGCGUUGUUCGGAAUUAUUGGGCGUAAAGCGUGCGCAGGCGGUUUUGUAAGACAGGUGUGAAAUCCCCGGGCUUAACCUGGGAACUGCAUUUGUGACUGCAAGGCUGGAGUGCGGCAGAGGGGGAUGGAAUUCCGCGUGUAGCAGUGAAAUGCGUAGAUAUGCGGAGGAACACCGAUGGCGAAGGCAAUCCCCUGGGCCUGCACUGACGCUCAUGCACGAAAGCGUGGGGAGCAAACAGG